UUGCGUUAAGGAUUGAAGUGGCAUCCUUUUUUUGCUGCCACAUAUGGCAAAAAAAGAUAUAACUGAAAGCCUGACCUAUA
RNAcentral lists this non-coding RNA (80 nucleotides) under unclassified sequences. RNAcentral's name for it is "Flavo-1 RNA". It matches the Rfam family "Flavo-1 RNA". RNAcentral also lists the same sequence under 1 other name. The record is from RNAcentral.